GAGCAACUUGCCCGUUUCGAGGGGAUAACCGGUGAAACGCCGAUAAUACCCNUAGCAUCACAUUGAGGCAUCUUUAUGUGAUUAAAGAAUUUCGGAAACGGAUAGGCUCGCGUGACAUUAGCUAGAUGGCGGGGGUAACGGCCCACCAUGGCGACGAUGUCUAGGGGUUCUGAGAGGAAGGUCCCCCACACUGGAACUGAGACACGGUCCAGACUCCUACGGGAGGCAGCAGUGAGGAAUAUUGGUCAAUGGUCGAGAGACUGAACCAGCCAUGCCGCGUGAAGGUCACGGCCCUAUGGGUCUUAAACUUCUUUUGUAAGGGAGCAAUAAGGUCUACGUGUAGAUCGAUGAGAGUACCUUACGAAUAAGCAUCGGCUAACUCCGUG
This 386-nucleotide ribosomal RNA is filed under the name uncultured bacterium. Its description in RNAcentral is "bacterial SSU rRNA". It matches the Rfam family "Bacterial small subunit ribosomal RNA", at positions 119 to 507 of the family's 1533-position model. The record is from RNAcentral.